GAUGAACGCUGGCGGCGUGCCUAAUACAUGCAAGUCGAGCGAACAGACGAGGAGCUUGCUCCUCUGACGUUAGCGGCGGACGGGUGAGUAACACGUGGAUAACCUACCUAUAAGACUGGGAUAACUUCGGGAAACCGGAGCUAAUACCGGAUAAUAUAUUGAACCGCAUGGUUCAAUAGUGAAAGACGGUUUUGCUGUCACUUAUAGCUGGAUCCGCGCCGCAUUAGCUAGUUGGUAAGGUAACGGCUUACCAAGGCAACGAUGCGUAGCCGACCUGAGAGGGUGAUCGGCGACACUGGAACUGAGACACGGUCCAGACUCCUACGGGAGGCAGCAGUAGGGAAUCUUCCGCAAUGGGCGAAAGCCUGACGGAGCAACGCCGCGUGAGUGAUGAAGGUCUUCGGAUCGUAAAACUCUGUUAUUAGGGAAGAACAAAUGUGUAAGUAACUAUGCACGUCUUGACGGUACCUAAUCAGAAAGCCACGGCUAACUACGUG
Molecule: ribosomal RNA, 497 nt
Filed under: uncultured bacterium
Lineage: Bacteria
Description: partial 16S ribosomal RNA
Rfam family: Bacterial small subunit ribosomal RNA
Source: RNAcentral